Molecule: ribosomal RNA, 253 nt
Filed under: uncultured bacterium
Lineage: Bacteria
Description: partial 16S ribosomal RNA
Rfam family: Bacterial small subunit ribosomal RNA
Source: RNAcentral
UACAGAGGGUGCGAGCGUUGUCCGGAAUCACUGGGCGUAAAGGGCGCGUAGGCGGUCUCUUAAGCGUGUGGUGAAAGCCCGGGGCUCAACUCCGGGUCGGCCGUGCGAACUGGGGGACUGGAGCUUGUCAGAGGCAGGCGGAAUUCCGGGUGUAGCGGUGGAAUGCGUAGAGAUCCGGAAGAACAUCAGUGGCGAAGGCGGCCUGCUGGGCUGUUGCUGACGCUGAGGCGCGACAGCGUGGGGAGCAAACAGG